UACGAAGGGUGCAAGCGUUACUCGGAAUUACUGGGCGUAAAGCGUGCGUAGGUGGUUUGUUAAGUCUGAUGUGAAAGCCCUGGGCUCAACCUGGGAAUGGCAUUGGAUACUGGCGAGCUAGAGUGCGGUAGAGGGUAGUGGAAUUCCCGGUGUAGCAGUGAAAUGCGUAGAUAUCGGGAGGAACACCUGAGGCGAAGGCGGGCUACUGGGCUGAUACUGACGCUGAUGCGCGAAAGCCAGGGGAGCGAACGGG
Molecule: ribosomal RNA, 253 nt
Filed under: uncultured bacterium
Lineage: Bacteria
Description: partial 16S ribosomal RNA
Rfam family: Bacterial small subunit ribosomal RNA
Source: RNAcentral